RNAcentral lists this ribosomal RNA (253 nucleotides) under uncultured bacterium. Its description in RNAcentral is "partial 16S ribosomal RNA". It matches the Rfam family "Bacterial small subunit ribosomal RNA", at positions 521 to 773 of the family's 1533-position model. The record is from RNAcentral.
UAAUACGAAGGGGGCUAGCGUUGCUCGGAAUCACUGGGCGUAAAGCGCACGUAGGCGGCUUUCUAAGUCAGGGGUGAAAUCCUGGAGCUCAACUCCAGAACUGCCUUUGAUACUGGGAAGCUUGAGUCCGGGAGAGGUGAGUGGAACUGCGAGUGUAGAGGUGAAAUUCGUAGAUAUUCGCAAGAACACCAGUGGCGAAGGCGGCUCACUGGCCCGGUACUGACGCUGAGGCGCGAAAGCGUGGGGAGCAAAC